Molecule: ribosomal RNA, 585 nt
Filed under: uncultured bacterium
Lineage: Bacteria
Description: partial 16S ribosomal RNA
Rfam family: Bacterial small subunit ribosomal RNA
Source: RNAcentral
UGGGGAAUUUUGGACAAUGGGCGCAAGCCUGAUCCAGCCAUGCCGCGUGCGGGAAGAAGGCCUUCGGGUUGUAAACCGCUUUGUCAGGGAAGAAAUCUUCUGAGUUAAUACCUCGGGAGGAUGACGGUACCUGAAGAAUAAGCACCGGCUAACUACGUGCCAGCAGCCGCGGUAAUACGUAGGGUGCAAGCGUUAAUCGGAAUUACUGGGCGUAAAGCGUGCGCAGGCGGUUUUGUAAGACAGAGGUGAAAUCCCCGGGCUCAACCUGGGAACUGCCUUUGUGACUGCAAGGCUUGAGUGCGGCAGAGGGGGGAUGGAAUUCCGCGUGUAGCAGUGAAAUGCGUAGAUAUGCGGAGGAACACCGAUGGCGAAGGCAAUCCCCUGGGCCUGCACUGACGCUCAUGCACGAAAGCGUGGGGAGCAAACAGGAUUAGAUACCCUGGUAGUCCACGCCCUAAACGAUGUCAACUGGUUGUUGGGAAGGUUCCUUCUCAGUAACGUAGCUAACGCGUGAAGUUGACCGCCUGGGGAGUACGGCCGCAAGGUUGAAACUCAAAUGAAUUGACGGGGUCAUAGCUGUUUCCU